CACCUCACAGCUGGAUAAACACAUCCUGUGGGGUGUGAGCAGUUGGCUCGUGGGUCGGGCACAGAGGGUGACAGUGACUGGGGUGACAUCAGACUGUGACCUGUCACUGCUGGGGUUCCACGGGGCUCCAUCUGGGCCCUGUGCUCUCCAACAUCUCCAGCAAUGACUUGGACACAGCACUGGAAGGGACACUGAGCAGGUACUGUAACUCUGCAGCCACUUGUGCGCAUCACGUUUGCCUCGGUGUGAAUGAAAGCAGGAGCUGGCAGCUUGCAGGGAGCCAGAUGUGUCAGUCCUUGCAUAGGCCUUGAUGACUCAAAAUAACCUUUAAUGAACAUCCCAGAGUGGUGGUUUGGCAGCUGGAUCAUCCAGGUGAAGCAGUUGAGAUGUGCCUGCAUCAGACUGCUCUGGUUUGUCCCCA
Molecule: long non-coding RNA, 421 nt
Organism: Pseudopipra pipra
Lineage: Eukaryota; Metazoa; Chordata; Aves; Passeriformes; Pipridae
Exons: 3
Source: RefSeq, a predicted model, not a curated record